Molecule: long non-coding RNA, 5157 nt
Organism: Loxodonta africana (African savanna elephant)
Lineage: Eukaryota; Metazoa; Chordata; Mammalia; Proboscidea; Elephantidae
Exons: 4
Source: RefSeq, a predicted model, not a curated record
GCCGCGCGCGCACGCCUGACGUCAGCGGCCAGCGUGAGUCACGCGCGCAGGGAGAGCGCGAGGCGGCAUCUCCCUCCCCCCUUCCUCCUCCGGCCCGGCCCAGACCGGUUCCAACCUGCUGGGGCCGGUCCCAACCGCCUCCAACUGCCACCAUCCUCUAGUAGGGCUGUGGGGCGGGAAACUCGGUCCCAGCCGCUUAGUGGGGAAGGCGGGAGCUUGGGAUGAGGAGCGCACACAUCUUAAGCCAGGCGUUCGAGGCCUAACUGUUCCUCAGACCAUAAAACCACAAUACCAGGCACUUUAGGGGCGAUGCCAAGUCCAAGACACGACCAAGAUGAGUUCCGUAGUUGCUCUCCCUAGAGCUGCCUAUGAGUGAGGGGUAAUGAGAAGUCCUGUCAGGAGACUCCAUGUAAUGUGCACAGGAGGCCUUUUGUGCCCAGAAGGCCCGGAUGUUGUCUACAGAGGCCACCCUUGCUUGAAUUCACUUGGACGGUUAACUUAGAUAAACAUGCAAAGACGAAAUCCUGUCGGUGCGCGCCCAUGACCGGUCCUCUGGGACUGAACUGACCCAACCAGAGUCAGGGGCCCCGAGGGUGAUGGGGUUCGAGGAUGUCCGCAGGCCCACUGAAAUGUGGCAUCGGAGGGAGCCCCAGAUGCUGACAUUACCAGAGUCCGGGAAGACGGAAAACCUUCUUCCCGGGGAAACUGCUUGAGUCUAAGUGUAGGUCCUUCUUUUUUCAAUUUCCUUCCAAGGCAUAUUACUCAACUCCCUAGGGCUAGGUGUCCUGGGAGAAAGCGAAAUGAAAAAGAGGUGGUCUUUCCUGUUAAGCAAAACGUUCUUUUCCAUUUUCCCUGAUGCUUUUUGAGUGCGUCUCAUCCCCAUGGGCUCCCGAGUGAUGUGCUUAUUUAGAAGGAUCCCCAGCUGUACUUGCUGGAGAUUUUGGAACGUGGAGGGUUGGACAACCCUUAAGAGCCACACUGAGAUGCCAGUUUGUGAACCAAGAGCAGGAAGCAUCUGUUGGAAUAAAGAAAGAACUAAAAAGUAGACGGGAAGGAGGAGCUCUUGUUUGUCACUCACCUACAGAAGUAAGACCAAUUGGAAAACCAUUCUAGGGUUGGGGAACAUUGGUUGUAGGAACGGGAUUGGUUUCUUUGUGGGAUUCUCUGCUACUGGAUGAAAUCAUUGAGGCUUUUUCUUGACCGCAGGUCUGACUCAUGUUAUCUAAAACUUUUGUUAAUGUGGCCAUUGCUUUGCUGGUCCUUUCUUGUGAACUUCUCUCUGAAGUUCUUCUGUUGGUUUUGGUGUGGUCUUAGCUCAGAGAAUACUGACGACUUGAAUGAUGUCACGCAACUGUGUAAUCUUGAUUUGGAAAUGUUGCAGGUUUUUCAAUAAAAUACAACGUUUCGAGUUGCGUGAGCCUUGGUUUCAGCAGCUGUGUUUCUGAUGUGACUCUAUGUUGUGGUGUUAUUCAGUAUACCGUGGAGUCUAUAUUGCACAGGCUUUCUGAUCAUUUUGGAAUUGGCUGAUGGGACAAGUUAACAGCUGUGUAAAUGUCAAUAUCUUUGUCCUCUUGAUGUUCAUUUGUUUAAAAUCUCUUUCAAUUCCUCAGGUUUUAGUAAACUAACAGUAGAUGAAAUGCCCAAGCUUGAUGGGUGAUUGGAGGUUGUAGGUACUCUAGCUUCUUUGUUUUCUGUUUGUUAAUUUGUAUGUGUUUUGUUUUUUAAUGUCUUUAUCUUCAAAACUCAGAGCUAGGAAUCAGUUGUCUUCCUUAGUAUAUUUAGGGGAGUUCAGAAGCUGUGGUUAUCUGGAAAACGUCCAUCCCCUUGUCAUCCCCAGUCUGAGGAGCAAGGGGCGUGAGGACACUGACAAUGGCACCAGUACACUUGGUGGCUCUGAUUUUUUUUUUUUUAGGUGAACCCAUUUGUUGUUGGGGAUUGGGGAACAGGAACAUUUUGAUUUUUAUUUCAAUUUCAAUAAAAUUUUGAGCUGCUUAGCAUUUUUUCAUACUCCCUUGCAGCGUGAAUUUUCAGAAUUUGUUCUGAAUAUGGCAUAUAUCUGUUGCAUUGAUUCCAUCGUUGAAUAUAGAUUUAGGCCCCGUAAAUUUUUUUUUUUACCUGUCGUAAAAGUUUACCUGACUUUCUUAUACAUGAAUUACGUUAAUUUUGUGAAUUUUUAUGGCUAAUGUUAUUUGAGACUAUGUGAUAUGCUGUCGUCCAUGCAGUAACCCAGAAGAAACUUGUGUUAAAAUUGCUUCUCACUCAGCAUAAUGACAAACAGUCCUGGGAAACAGUUGAAUCCACCAAAAGCAGAAAUUGCCUUCGCAGAUGCUUGGUUUCCUGCCCUUUAUACGUGGGCCACAACUAAAGUCCUAGAGCUUGAGCCUUCAUUUUCUUAGAACGAGGAUUAUUCAUAACAUAUUUUAAGAAUAAUUAUUUUGUUGGCAUUUUUUUCUUAAAAUCUUGAAUUAUGUUGCUUUAAGGGAAACUUAAUUUGUUUGAAGCAAAUUGGUGUGGCAGGCGCUUGUGCUAGGCCUGCGGAAUAUGACCCUCCUAGAGGACACUCAUUUAUGUCUGCGUUCUCUGUUUUACAGCUCCAAGUGUUUGAUUAGCCCUUAGUAAAAUAAUAGUAUGCAUGCAUUAGUACUCUUCACAUACAAGAGCCAUAUGACCUCCUCAUCUUUUUAUUUGAUAAAGACUAAGUAUAAUCUAGCUCUAUUCAGAACAGGUCCGUCUUGUGUAGUAGAGGACUUUUAUAAAAUUAUGUAAGAAUGAGAAGUUUUGGAGAAAUUUCAUCUGGAAAUGUAUCUACAAGUUUAGCUAACUUUGGACUUUUUACUGCAUAAUAAUUAUUAAAAGUUUAUAAUUGAGAGGCCACAAAAAACUGUCAUCCAAAACAUCCAGGUUUCUGACCUCAUUAUUUUGACCCCGUAAGAGGAAGUAGGAAACCCUGGUGGUGCAGUGGUUAAGAUCUACAUCUGCUAACCAAAAGGUUGGCAGUUUGAAUCCACCAGGUGCUCCUUGGAAACUCUAUGGGGCAGUUCUGUUCUGACCUAUAGUGUCACUAUGAGUUGGAACCAGCUCAAUGGCAAUGGGUUUAGUUUGGUUUUAAGAGGAAGUAUGGAGCCCUGGUGGCGCAGUGGUUAAGAGCUCAGCUGGUAACCAAAAGGUCGGUAGUUCAAAUCCACCAACUGCUCCUUGGAAAUAGACAUUACAUUAUUUUUAAAUUCGUUCCAUUGCAGUUGAUUCUCAGACUUCUUAAUGACCUACUCUUAAAGUGAAAUUCCAGUUUAGUGACGGUUCCUUGGAGUUUUCUGGUCCCUGGGUAAUUUCCUAUAGGUAGGAAAUCAUUUGUCUGCCUUGGUAGAUAUAUGGUAUAAUGGUCUUUAUAGCCUCAUUUACCCAGGUGUCUUUAAGACUGUUUCCUGGGAAUCUUCAAACAAGGAUAACAUAGCACUACUUCCAUAGAUAACUAUUUUGAAGCAGAUUUGUUUAUACCUUAUGUAAACAUCAUGAACUUUACUUGAUUGGAUCUGAUUGUGUUUGGAAAAUCUAGGAAAUGAGCAUGUAUUUACAGCAUUAUUGCAAAUUGCAAUACAAUUGUGAAUACAUUGCUAGAGUACAACUUGUUGCAUAAUGGAAGUCACUGGGAAGUGUUACCUAACAGCCUUGCUGAGAAUGAGUUAACUUACCAAUAAACAUUUCUGGAUUGUAUUAUUUAUCAAGUAAAGCUAAUUUUCUUCCAGGACAGAAAUUAAGAGCUCAUUGUGGCUUUCAAUCAAGCCCACAAAAUGGCCAUUAUUAAUGUUAAGUGCCCAUGCUAAGGAUAGAUUCUUAAGUUUAGCACCUAGUUGAUAUUUACUAUAAUCUAAAUUAAUGGUUAAAGUCGAGAUUUGCUUAAUGGUUAAGUUUUUUUGUUUUAAUCCAGCUAUGUUAGAUUCUAAAGAAGGCUUUCCCACAAUCCAUAUGCAUCUGCUUUGGCUGAUGGUUUCUGUCAACCUACAAAGACUGGGCCUUAUUGGUGAGGGGAGCUGGACAACUCUGAGAGCAACUUAGAGAAAUCCAUCUUGGGCACACUCUGUAAAGGAGCUCCUUCUCUGGAAAUAGCACCCCAGAUAAGUGCACAAAAGCAAGACACCCUCGUGGACCUACUUCUUCCCGCUUUCAACACCCUGAUGCCUGAAGUUAUGCUUGAUAUUAAAGAAGGUUUUCCUACUACCCAUAUGCAUCUUCUGUAUUUUGAAAUUGCAACUAUGGACAGUUAAUGGCUAAUCCUAGUAGAUUGUCUUCCCUUCUUUUAACAUCUUGGAUGAAUUGUAGUGUGAAGAUGGAUGUUGAAUAUACUCUGUAGAUUGACCCCAAGCCAGCCAUCUUGAAAUACCUGCUGGGACAACAGAGAUAUCUGUGGAGAAAGUUUGAGUAAAAUCGAUGAUAUUAUAGUAGUGUGUAGAGUUUGACAGCAGUAUCGAGCUGAGGAGGAGGAGAAGAUGGAAAGGAGUCUAGCAACUUAAAAUCUCAUAGCAUUCUCUGUGAGGUGACCUUUUUCCUGUUGGUGGCUCAUUGUGUUUAGGAAAUAAAGAAGAUACUAAGGCCUGUGGCAGUAUCGUCGGGUCAUAUCUGAGCUUAUUGAAAUGUUUCCUCCCUUCCCUUAUUCUUUAUAUCACAGUUUGCUUUACGUGUUCAUAAACUGACUCAUUUGUUUCAUAUUAGUAUUUGAAACACCAUAUGGCCACCAUGAGUCCUAACAGAAUGACUUCUAAUGAGGAGGGGAAGGCCUGUGUUUGUGCCUUCCCCUGAAAUUUUGGCUUACUCACAAAAUGACCCCCAUUGAAGGGUAGGUUCAGAGAAAAAGAGGUUGAUAAAAACCUUUGGCAUGGUGUUUUAUGACUUGAAGUUUUAGUAAUAGUUUUUGUCUAAGUAUUAAUUUUGGUAAGAACAUUACUGUAUCUUCUUGAUGUCACUUUUACUGCUAAGAGGUGCCAGGCAUUUGGUGGCCUGUCACUUGAGGAUUCAUGUAAGUCAAACCUAGCCGAACAAAAUUAGAGGUCAGUAUUUGUAUUUUCUCAUUAAAAACAAAAUAACUAAAUUUUACUAUUUAAGUAAGUACUGUAUCAUGAAUAUAAGAGAUAAAUAUUAAAUAACCAGUAGAUGAUGUGAAAA